This 2094-nucleotide ribosomal RNA is filed under the name Triticum aestivum (bread wheat). Its description in RNAcentral is "partial small subunit ribosomal RNA". The record is from RNAcentral. Lineage: Eukaryota; Viridiplantae; Streptophyta; Magnoliopsida; Poales; Poaceae.
UCCUCCAUUAAUUUUAGCAUUUAUCCUCCUCUCCUCUUUUCUCUCUUUCUCUCUACUCUAGAUCUAGAUCUUGUGUUUUUGUUCAUAGUUGUAUUAAUCCUUGUGUGUAAUUUGCAAUUUGUUGUGUAUGUGAUGGUAGGUUGUUCUCCCUCCUUUGUGCACUCCUAAUUUGUGGAGAGGGAACCUUAUAUACUGUUUUCCUCAAUUAAUGGAGGCGCAUCGAUGGAUGACUGAAGUUGGAUGUACGGGCCUCAGGUGACUUUCACAUUCAUCGGCGGUUUGAUGAAGUUCCUUAAGGCCGCCAAGGUUUUCCGAAAGAAGCAGCACCUCGUAGUCAGGGUUUCAUGCAUGGGUAUACAAGAUGGACUUCCAUGGCGAGGUGGCAGAGGUGGACAUGAAUGCCGGUGAAAGAAGACAUGAACCGUCAUCGCUAACGGAGACCCUGUAUGAAGCUGAUCAAGAAGUUCAUCAUACAUCUCCAAUAUUUUUAUUAUUUCAUGCUAUUAUAUUAUCAAUCUUGGAUGCUUUAUAUGCAUUUUUGUGCCAUUUUAUAUCAUUUUUGUGACUAACCUAUUUACCCACUGCCUAGUGUCAGUUGUUCUUUUCCAGAAAAUCAGUAGCAAAUGUAGUCCAAACGUUACAAACCUUUUUGAUGAUUUUUUUCUAGACAAAAGAGACCCUAGAAGUUCCGGGAGGAGACCAGAGGACGAACGAGGAGACGACAAGGCAACAGGGCGCGCCCUGGGGGUGGGGGCAGUUGCCUUGAGGGACCCUCGAGGCUCCGCCUAACCUAAUUCCACUUCUAUAAAUUCUCAUUAUUGGGAAACCAACACAGAGCCACCUGGUAACCUUUUUCCGCCGCCUCAAACUUCUGUUCUUCUGCGAUCCCAUUUGGAGGCCUUUUUCGGUACUCUGCUGUCGGGGGAAUCGAUCACGGAGGGCUUCUACAUCAUCCUUGCCGCCUUCCGAUGAUGCGUGAGUAGAUUACCAUAGACCUACGGGUCCAUAGCUAGUAGCUAGAUGGCUUCUCUAUCUCUUUGAUCCUCAAUACAAUGUUCUCCUUGAUCUUCUUGGAUUAAUCUUCUUUUGAGGUAUGUUUGUUGGGAUCUGGUGAAUUAUGGGGUUGUGAUCAGAUUAUUCAUUGAAAAUAACUGAGUCUUUUCUGAACUUUAUUAAGCAGUUGAUGCAGGAUCCUGCCGACAGAAGAUAUAUAGUCGUCAUAGAUAAGUUGGUCUGAGACUCAAAGACUCAGCUCUAUCCCGGUUGCGUGAACGAUGAGUCAAACAUUCUAGCUGUGACGCUUGAACUCAUGAGGAUCAAGGCCAUAUACAAUUUCCCGAAUGUAGGUUUCAAUGAGGCGCUCGAGUUCCUUGCAGAAGUUGUCCCAACAGAUAACAAGUUGCCUUAGAGCACUUACGAACCGAGGAAGGUCAUUUGUUCUCUUGGAUUAGAAGUACAGAGGUACAACUCUUGUCCUAACGACUGCAUAAUCUACAAGGACGAGCACAAAUACCUGCACAUAUGCACGAUAUGCCAUAUAUCCGGAUAUCGAUACAAGAAGGGGGCGCGAAGAGUUGAAGUGGAGGAAGAAAAGAAGUGUGGUAGUCCGGCGAAGGUUGUAUGGUACCUUCCUUUCUUUCCCCAUGGGGAGCGUUUCUUCGCCAAUGAAAAGAUCACAAAUCUAUUGGUCUGGCAUGAUCCACCCCCCUCCAUUUGAACAGUAUGAGAUUAGCCAUGUUCUUUUGUUGUUCUUAGUCGUAAUGACCCAUUUGUUUGACAAGAAAAAAAUGUUCUAUGGGGGCUAUAUGGUAUUCACUACAACUACUAUCAAGCACAUGAUUUUGGUUGUUAGGCUGUAGUGGUUGGACCCUUUUGUCAAGUAGUUCCUCUCCAACUACUCCAACGACUACUCAAAAUAGAUCCUCUCCAACUACUCCAAAUAGAUUGAUUUUGGACAAUCCUAGAUUUACUAGUAUUCUCGGGAUGGAGAGAACUAAUAUAUGGCAAAAUUCAAUAGGAUUAUUGAUAUAAUCCCUCUGGUUAUUUUACCUGUCACAUUGGAUUUGUCUUAGGUCAAACUUUAUGACAUUGACC